GAUGAAGAACGCAGCGAAAUGCGAUAAGUAAUGCGAAUUGCAGAAUUUCCGUGAGUCAUCGAAUCUUUGAACGCACAUUGCGCCCGCCAGUAUUCUGGCGGGCAUGCCUGUCUGAGCGUCAUUUCAACCCUCAUGCCCCUAGGGCGUGGUGUUGGGGAUCGGCCAAAGCCCGCGAGGGACGGCCGGCCCCUAAAUCUAGUGGCGGACCCGUCGUGGCCUCCUCUGCGAAGUAGUGAUAUUCCGCAUCGGAGAGCGAUGAGCCCCUGCCGUUAAACCCCCAACUUUCCAAGGUUGACCUCAGAUCAGGUAGGAAUACCCGCGGAACUUAAGCAUAUCAAUAAGCGGAGGA
RNAcentral lists this unclassified non-coding RNA (349 nucleotides) under soil metagenome. RNAcentral's name for it is "partial contains 5.8S ribosomal RNA, internal transcribed spacer 2, and large subunit ribosomal RNA". The stretch from base 1 to 121 matches the Rfam family "5.8S ribosomal RNA", at positions 35 to 154 of the family's 154-position model. The record is from RNAcentral.